RNAcentral lists this non-coding RNA (28 nucleotides) under Rattus norvegicus (Norway rat). Lineage: Eukaryota; Metazoa; Chordata; Mammalia; Rodentia; Muridae. The record is from RNAcentral.
UAAUGAGGAGAAACAGAACCUCAGGUAC